CACCAUUGACAUUUUGUGCAGCUGAAGGCAGCAGGCCAGAUGGACAAUGUGACUAAUGUGGAGUCACACUCCAGAAGGAGUCAGAUGCAUGCAUUCUGCUUCCUAGAACGAAAAAGAUGGAUUUGAUGUCGUGAAAUGGCAAUUCUAAAACUCAGGAGAUAUGUUGGUGUUUCUGAGCUCUUACUCCAGUGUCCACUUGUCCAUAGAAUCACCUUUCACUUCUGGGGUCAGAGGACAGCUCCUGGAAUGAUCUCUCAUCUUACGGCAAAAAGGUAUCAAUCCAGCUACUCACAUGAUCAACUCCUCCAGUUCAUUGGUGAAUCUCCUGAAGUAACUUCUUCUUAGUGGAUAUCUAUGAUCACUCUAUUUAAAAUAGUCCCCUUUAUUCCUCAUCUCUUACACUCAAUUUUUUCUUUUUUUCUUUCAAUUGCUUGUCAUGCCUUUCCCUAGACUAUGAACUUAAUGUGAAGUUUGUCUUACUUACCAUGAUAUCCCCAGAACCUAGAAUAAGUAUAUGUCCAUACAUAUUUUUGAAUACCUGAAUAAAUAAACAUUUGUUUUUUUAAGGGUAGAAUAUUUUAC
This 582-nucleotide long non-coding RNA is filed under the name Homo sapiens (human). Its description in RNAcentral is "HSALNT0318367". The record is from RNAcentral. Lineage: Eukaryota; Metazoa; Chordata; Mammalia; Primates; Hominidae.